Molecule: ribosomal RNA, 254 nt
Filed under: uncultured bacterium
Lineage: Bacteria
Description: partial 16S ribosomal RNA
Rfam family: Bacterial small subunit ribosomal RNA
Source: RNAcentral
UACGGGGGGAGCAAGCGUUGUUCGGAUUUACUGGGCGUAAAGGGCGCGUAGGCGGCCAGCACAAGUCAGUUGUGAAAUCUCCGGGCUUAACUCGGAACGGCCAAGUGAAACUGUCAAGCUAGAGUGCAGAAGGGGCAAUCGGAAUUCUUGGUGUAGCGGUGAAAUGCGUAGAUAUCAAGAGGAACACCUGAGGUGAAGACGGGUUGCUGGGCUGACACUGACGCUGAGGCGCGAAAGCCAGGGGAGCAAACGGG